UGCUCCUAUGAUGCUGCUUGGCCUGCUGUGUUCAUCCAGCCCUGCACCUUGUUGUCUCAUGAAGAAAGAGGCCACCGUUUUAGCAGGCAAAUAAAUGUGUAAAGCUGAGAGAGCAAAUGAUGGUAAAUUUAAGAUACGUAUUUGAACCAACAUUUGCAAAGCAGGCACCCUCCCUGGAUUCACUCCCUCUCCCUUCAGUUGCUGCAAGUGAACAGUUUCUCCACCCCACCACCCAGGGGGAGACAUUGCUUUACUCCCAGAUGUUGCACAAGCGGAGGAGGUUUCACUGGGAGGACAAUAUCUGCAUUGUGACGUCCCGGGGCUGAAGCAGCCAAUAGGAAUUGCUGUGUUCGGUGGUGACGUUCUCGGGUUUCAGGCGCGUGGACGUGGGAGUGCCGCCCCCACCCAUUGUUCCCCGACUGCAGUCAAGGUUUCCAGGGCAACCAGCUGGCGGCUCGGGCCAGAGCGAGAAGCUGCUCGGGGAUCUGCCCCUCCCCCUCCCUCCGGCGGCAAUUGCUGAAUCAGAAGUUUAACACGAUUUUUAGAAGAGGAGACUUUGCAGUUAACAAACUGAAACCAAACGUUACUCAGGAUCUGAGAGAGUUACCAAACGUAUCACAACCUGAAUACUACGGCAUGUUGGACAUGGAAGGAGAAAGCACCAUUCCCAGCGGGCAGAAACUAGUUCUGUUUUUGGGGAAGGCUUCAAUCAAUCAUCUGGCCUAUCAGAAUGUAAACACACUCAUAAUGAUUAGAAGCCGUGGAGAUGAGGGGAUUGUGGUAAAGACUUCUUUCAUCUAUCAAUGCUGAAAAAUCAUCAGCAUCGUCACACCAGGAAGAGGCCAUUCACCUGUUUUGAGUGUGGAGAGGGAUUCACUCAAUCAUCCACCCUGCUAACACUUCUGAUGAAGGGUCUACGCCCGAAAUGUCAGCCUUCCUGCUCCUAUGAUGCUGCUUGGCCUGCUGUGUUCAUCCAUCUCUGCACCUUGUUAUCUCAGAUUCUCCAGCAUCUGCAGUUCCUACUAUCUCUGACAUACCAGAGUGUUCACACUGGCAAGAGGCUAUUCACCCUCAGAGUGUGGGAAGAGAUUUAUCGAUUCAUCAAACCUGGUGACACACCAGCAAGUUCACACUGAUGAGUGACCUUUUAAAUGCCCAAUCUGAAGAAAGUGCUAUGAAAGGUCUGGGGCACUAAUGCUCCAUCAGUGUACUCACACUGACAAGAGACUGUUUGGGUGUUCUGACUGCCAGGCAGCAUUUAGGUGAUCAUCUUGCCUCACUGCAUACCAUCAAGUUCGCACUAGGGAGAAGCCCUUUACCUGCUCUGACUGUGGGAAGGGAAGUCAGUCAGUCAUCCCAGCACAUUCACACUGUGGAGUGACCAUUCACCUGCUCCAGCUGUGGGAAGGGAGUCACACAGGUAUCAUAUCUGCUGAGUGACCAGAGAGUUCACAAGAAACUGCAGUGAUUGGAUUUUACUAUUAACCACGUUCAUUGUGGUCUGUUUCUGCUGAUAUUAAUAACCACCUGCUCAGGUAUAUGUUAAUGUAGAUAAACAUCAAAUAAACCAGUUUUGUGUAAAACAGUGUUUCAUCUUCUUAUUGUCUCUAACACAGGGGAUUCCCUUUUGAAUUGCUGUCCUACUUCCCUCCAUCCUCACCUUUUAACAAGAAGUAUGAGAAGCUCCGUUGUCACUGAGAUGAAGACAGUCCGAUCAGCUGCCUCUGCCCGGACUGGGAAAAUUGCUCUGGAAAUCUCAGUGAUCUGAUUUGCCACCAAUGUAUUUACUCACAAAGGAAAGACCAUUCAGGUGCUCUCACUGUAGGACUGGCCUCCGGCAAUCAUCUGCCUCACUGUACACCAGUGAGUUUACACGAUAGGGAGGCUGUUCACUUGCUCUGAGCAUGAGAAGAUUCACUCAGACAGCCUACCUUCUGAGACACCAACAAGUUCAUUAGUGACUGCAGGAGUUGGAUUUCCUGUUAAUCAAAUGCUGAACACAUUCAUUUUCUCAUUUGGUCUUUUUCUACUGAUGUUAAUAAAUUCCAGAAGUUUUAAAUGCAAAUAAUCAGAAUGAAAACUCACAUGAGUUAGCAUAGUGUUAAACCCAGUGUGUUGAGUCUUUUUCAUACCUCAAACACAAGUGAGUCCCUUUUGAAGGCUCUCCCUCUUUCUUCUAAUGACACGGGUGAGAUGUUCCAGGAGCUGAGACCCCACUACAAAUAAGAAAAUCUGAUCGGUGCCUCCGCUGCUCCUAUCCCUUCCACUAGCUCAUUGGGUCAAGCAGCUUGUCAAGUUCUUCCUUGACCCCAGAUCCCCAGCUUUCUCCAGUUUCUCUCCUGUCAGAGCUUGUCUUGUCCAUGAGACCCAUGUUUGUUCCACUGACCUAUUCUCACUAAACAUAUUUGCUGAUAUUGUUAAAGGUUAACUCUCCCUUAAAAUUUCAUAUUCCCAAUCCUUUUUAAAAAAAGACUGGAUUCCACGGUAUUUGCAAAGACUUGAACUUGGUGUUCACCAAAGAGCUGUCCUUGGUCCCUCCUAUUUCUCACCUACACAUUGCCACUUUUUAACAUCAUCCAAAAGCACUGUGUCAGUUUUUACAUGGUCACUGAUAACUACCAGCUCUAGCUCACCAUCAGCCCUGUCCAUUCCUCUACUGUUAUUCAAUGAUUCCACACCUAAUACUGGACAAGCUGAAAAGUCCUCCAGGGAAACAUUUGGAAGAACAAUCCAUUGUCUUCAGUUACUGCUACACAUUCCAUUCUCAAACCCCUGAAUCUGUCCCUCUUCCCUGAGAGUAAGGCUGAACCACACUGUUCAUAGUCUCAGUCACAGGUUUGACAUGAAGAUGAAUUUUCAACCACAAAACCACACUUUCACUCACACCGGAUAUUCCAAUCUCCAUAAAGUCAGCCAUCUCCACCCCAGCCCAGCUCAUCAGCUGCUGAAACCCUUGUCUGUGCCUGUGUUAAACUUGAUAAUUAUAAUGCAUUCCUGAUCAGCUCACAUUCACCCCAGCCCCGUGUGGAAAUGUGAGAUCUCUCAAAAUCUCUGUUCUGCAAUUCCUGUUCACAUUCCCUCUAAACUGUGUGAGUGCAGUCAGUCCAAGCUUAAGUGGUCUGACUGAGGCAUUGACUUCCAAUUUUGGAAGUCAUGAGCAUGCACCAUCCCUGGAGGCCUGCACAACCAGAAUGAAAAUUAGAGGAAAUUCUGGUCCUGUUCACCCAACACCCUCUUUGUUCCCUGAGAGUGUUACUGCUCAUUUCCUUUUCUGCGUUGAACUCUGAGGUCUGUAUGCAGCAGCAGCAAUGCUUGCUCGUGGGAUCUUGGUGCUUCACUGGAUCUUUUUUUACCUGUCCUUGCAGUGAAUCUGUUAAUCUUGGCCCCACACACUGUUGCUCCUCCCUAGGCUGAAAUCCAAAUGUUAGAGCAUUUAUACAAUUUCAUUCCUCCACUCCAGUCUCUUCCUUCCCUCUAUCUUGUCUGCUUUGAAUUCUCCACACAUUGUGUGCAGGAACAGACUGAAAUCAAUGAGAUAAUGUUUUUAGUGGGGUCAUGGGAACCGUGAAGAAUGUAGAAGAAUUAACUGAAUUACUGUUCAUUUUCAACUCAUUU
This is a long non-coding RNA of Rhincodon typus (whale shark), 3615 nucleotides long. RefSeq lists it as uncharacterized. Lineage: Eukaryota; Metazoa; Chordata; Chondrichthyes; Orectolobiformes; Rhincodontidae. The record is from RefSeq and is a predicted model, not a curated record. The transcript has 2 exons.